Molecule: long non-coding RNA, 267 nt
Filed under: Gossypium raimondii (Peruvian cotton)
Lineage: Eukaryota; Viridiplantae; Streptophyta; Magnoliopsida; Malvales; Malvaceae
Description: long non-coding RNA (GRAI_LNC003718)
Source: RNAcentral
GUGGUGAGCGGCGCCGACGAACAGCGACAUUAGACUAGUAGAGGUGGUGAGGUUAGCGAUUUUGAUUUUGGAAUUGGGAAUAAUGGGGAAUGGCACGGGAGGUAAAGCUAAAGCUAAAUCUUAACAUUAAAAAUAAUUAAAUAAAAUAAUUAUUAUAUAAUUCGGGUCGGGCUGGCCCGUUUAGAAAACGAACCUUGUUUUUGGAUCUAUAUUUUUGCCCAAACCCUCCCAUUUUCGGGUGGGUCUUCGGGCAGAGUUGGGUAGCCC